GUCUACGGCCAUACCACCCUGAACACGCCCGAUCUCGUCUGAUCUCGGAAGCUGAGCAGGGUCGGGCCUGGUUAGUACUUGGAUGGGAGACAAGUAUGUCCUUUGUGGGGUCAGUUCUAGGCAGUUAUAGGAA
This 133-nucleotide ribosomal RNA is filed under the name Castor canadensis (American beaver). Lineage: Eukaryota; Metazoa; Chordata; Mammalia; Rodentia; Castoridae. The record is from RNAcentral.